UCCAGACUCCUACGGGAGGCAGCAGUGGGGGAUAUUGGACAAUGGGGGAAACCCUGAUCCAGCGACGCCGCGUGAGUGAAGAAGUAUUUCGGUAUGUAAAGCUCUGUCAGCAGGGAAGAAAGAAAUGACGGUACCUGACCAAGAAGCCCCGGCUAACUACGUGCCAGCAGCCGCGGUAAUACGUAGGGGGCGAGCGUUAUCCGGAUUCACUGGGUGUAAAGGGAGCGUAGACGGCCAUGCAAGCCAGGGGUGAAAGCCCGGGGCCCAACCCCGGGACUGCCCUUGGAACUGCAUGGCUGGAGUGCGGGAGGGGCAGGCGGAAUUCCUGGUGUAGCGGUGAAAUGCGUAGAUAUCAGGAGGAACACCGGCGGCGAAGGCGGCCUGCUGGACCGCGACUGACGUUGAGGCUCGAAAGCGUGGGGAGCGAACAGGAUUAGAUACCCUCGUA
Molecule: ribosomal RNA, 448 nt
Filed under: uncultured bacterium
Lineage: Bacteria
Description: bacterial SSU rRNA
Rfam family: Bacterial small subunit ribosomal RNA
Source: RNAcentral